AGCGAACGCUGGCGGCAGGCUUAACACAUGCAAGUCGAGCGGGCCCUUCGGGGUCAGCGGCAGACGGGUGAGUAACACGUGGGAACGUACCCUUUGGUUCGGAAUAACGCUGGGAAACUAGCGCUAAUACCGGAUACGCCCUUUUGGGGAAAGGCUUGCUGCCGAAGGAUCGGCCCGCGUCUGAUUAGCUAGUUGGUGGGGUAAUGGCCUACCAAGGCGACGAUCAGUAGCUGGUCUGAGAGGAUGAUCAGCCACACUGGGACUGAGACACGGCCCAGACUCCUACGGGAGGCAGCAGUGGGGAAUAUUGGACAAUGGGCGCAAGCCUGAUCCAGCCAUGCCGCGUGAGUGAUGAAGGCCUUAGGGUUGUAAAGCUCUUUUGUCCGGGACGAUAAUGACGGUAACGGAAGAAUAAGCCCCGGCUAACUUCGUG
Molecule: ribosomal RNA, 433 nt
Filed under: uncultured bacterium
Lineage: Bacteria
Description: partial 16S ribosomal RNA
Rfam family: Bacterial small subunit ribosomal RNA
Source: RNAcentral